ACGCGAGGAACCUUACCAGGUCUUGACAUCCCAUUGACCGCUAUGGAGACAUAGCUUUCCCUUCGGGGACAGUGGUGACAGGUGGUGCAUGGUUGUCGUCAGCUCGUGUCGUGAGAUGUUGGGUUAAGUCCCGCAACGAGCGCAACCCUUGUUCUUAGUUGCCAUCAUUUAGUUGGGCACUCUAAGGAGACUGCCGGUGACAAACCGGAGGAAGGUGGGGAUGACGUCAAAUCAUCAUGCCCCUUAUGACCUGGGCUACACACGUACUACAAUGGCCAGUACAACGGGAAGCGAAGCCGCGAGGUGGAGCGAAUCCUAAAAAGCUGGUCUCAGUUCGGAUUGCAGGCUGCAACUCGCCUGCAUGAAGUCGGAAUUGCUAGUAAUCGCGGAUCAGCAUGCCGCGGUGAAUACGUUCCCGGGCCUUGCACACACCGCCCGU
This 439-nucleotide ribosomal RNA is filed under the name uncultured bacterium. RNAcentral's name for it is "bacterial SSU rRNA". It matches the Rfam family "Bacterial small subunit ribosomal RNA", at positions 959 to 1397 of the family's 1533-position model. The record is from RNAcentral.